GUGCUCGGCAGCACAUAUAAUAAAAUUGGGAUGAUACAGAGAAGAUUAGCAUGGCCCCUGCGCAAAGAUGACAUGCAAAUUUGUGAAGCAUUCCAUAUUUUU
Pteronotus mesoamericanus is the source of this 102-nucleotide small nuclear RNA. The record is from RefSeq and is a predicted model, not a curated record. Lineage: Eukaryota; Metazoa; Chordata; Mammalia; Chiroptera; Mormoopidae.